Molecule: transfer RNA, 75 nt
Filed under: Vibrio alginolyticus
Lineage: Bacteria; Pseudomonadati; Pseudomonadota; Gammaproteobacteria; Vibrionales; Vibrionaceae
Also listed under: 150 other names
Description: tRNA-Gln
Rfam family: tRNA
About the family: Transfer RNA (tRNA) molecules are approximately 80 nucleotides in length. Their secondary structure includes four short double-helical elements and three loops (D, anti-codon, and T loops).
Source: RNAcentral
UGGGCUAUCGCCAAGCGGUAAGGCACCGGCUUUUGAUGCCGGCAUUCCCUGGUUCGAAUCCAGGUAGCCCAGCCA